Molecule: ribosomal RNA, 402 nt
Filed under: Bacteroidota bacterium
Lineage: Bacteria; Pseudomonadati; Bacteroidota
Description: Bacteroidetes bacterium partial 16S ribosomal RNA
Rfam family: Bacterial small subunit ribosomal RNA
Source: RNAcentral
UGGGGAAUUUUGCACAAUGGGGGAAACCCUGAUGCAGCGACGCCGCGUGAUUUAGAAGGCCUUCGGGUUGUAAAAAUCUUUUUUAUGGGAUGAAAAUGACAGUACCAUAAGAAUAAGGUCCGGCUAAUUACGUGCCAGCAGCCGCGGUAAUACGUAAGGUCCGAGCGUUGUCCGGAAUCAUUGGGCGUAAAGGGUACGUAGGCGGGUAAGCAAGUUAGAAGUGAAAUCCUGUAGCUCAACUACAGUAAGCUUUUAAAACUGCUCAUCUUGAGAUAUGGAAGGGAAAGUGGAAUUCCUAGUGUAGCGGUGAAAUGCGCAGAUAUUAGGAGGAAUACCGGUGGCGAAGGCGACUUUCUGGCCAUAAUCUGACGCUGAGGUACGAAAGCGUGGGUAGCAAACAGG